Molecule: long non-coding RNA, 2186 nt
Organism: Eriocheir sinensis (Chinese mitten crab)
Lineage: Eukaryota; Metazoa; Arthropoda; Malacostraca; Decapoda; Varunidae
Exons: 3
Source: RefSeq, a predicted model, not a curated record
CACAACAGAAUUUAACUUAGAAAACAGUAAGGUGAUGUUGCCUAAGUGUAGCUAAGUAACUUGUGGCCCAUUCAUUCAUCACUUAGGGUAAAAGAGGGAAGAUCUACUUGCCUAUUAUUAUUAUUAUUAUUAUUAUUAUUAUUAUUAUUAUUAUUAUUAUUAUUAUUAUUAAGUCAUGAAAGGUCAGCAAUUAUCUGCAGUUAGGCAGAGGUCAAGCCAUGGAAAAGCAUAAAAAACCUGAGUAAAGGCUGGCAAGAGAAGGAAAAGAAAAAAGAAAGAUGCAGGUCCUACAGUUUGCAGUCUCACAUUAUAACAUUGUUUUACAGCGAAGUAUCUCACAGGUAAUAGCUGUUAAAAGAGAAAAAAAGAGGCGAUUCCUACAGUUUUCAGUCUCAAAGUUGUAGCAUUAUUUUUUUACAGCACAGAACCUCUUGGGCAAAAGCUGAAAAAAGAAAUAGGCGAUUCCUACAGUUUUCAGUCUCAAAGUUGUAGCAUUAAUUUUUUUUUACAGCGAAACGUAAAAGCUGAAAAUAAAGGAAAAUAAAGAAAAAAGAUGCAAGUCCUAAAGUUUCCAGUCUCAAAUUUGUCAUUACCUAAUUCUAUUUUUAUUAAUACAGUGAAGCAUAUCAUUAUUCCCUGAUAUUUAAACCAAGUAGGCUAUCCUAGUGCUUAUAACUGAGCUUUCUUUCAUUUGUUAGCCUCGGUAAGAGAAAGAGGAAAAGAAGCAAGUCUAUACAGUUUUUAGUCUCAAAGUGAUCGUAUUUUCUUUAACAUUGAAGUAUCUCAUAAACCAAGUAUUCUUUUAAGUGUUUAUAAUAGAGCUUUCUUUCAUGUUAGCCUCGGAAAGAGCAAGAGGAACAGAAGCAAGUCUAUACAGUUUUUAGUCUCAAAGUGAUCGUAUUUUCUUUAACAUUGAAGUAUCUCAUAAACCAAGUAUUCUUUUAAGUGUUUAUAAUUGAGCUUUCUUUCAUGUUAGCCUCGGUAAGAUAAAGAGGAAAGAAAUGGUACAGUUUUUGGUCACAGUAUCGUAUCUCUCAGGGACAGAAAUUAUUAAGGGAAAGAAAAGAGAAGAAAAUUUAGUGAAGGUGAAUGGAAAAAAAGGUAAAAGAGAGAGAAAGGAGAGGGAAAACAGGGAGGGAGAGAAAAGAAAGCGUAGGCUCAGUGACAGAAUUCAAGGGAGAGAAAGGAGGAUAAUUUUCAGUUUGGCGCGCGCGGGGGAGUGAGAGGGCGGGGAAGUGCGCGGAGUGUUUUGUAAGCGAUGAAAACCUUUUAUUUCGUUGUGUUCCAGCGGUGGCCAGCACACUGUGAUUAGCCAAAAUUCGUCUCGCUACUGAGGGUCUGAAGGAAGGACUCACAGCUACACACACGGUAUGGCCCAAGGUACGUGAGUUUGACCCAUUCGUAAACUCCCAAAGUUGUUUCUCUAUUGUGGCUAACACUGUAAUCAUCGGUCUCUCUUUCUGAAUCUUGCAACUCAACCCCAGAUAGCAGGAAGGCCCGACUAGCAUACAGUGGUUUUGACUUAUUACUAAAUUCUCAAAAAUGUUUCCCCGUAUAGAAGCCAGCAUUGUCUGGAGGUUGCAAUUUAACCCCAAACAAAAGGAAGGGCCGUCAAGUGUACUGUCUCUAUACUGAAGCAGCUUUGAAAGUUUCUCCUUCCUUUCAUCCGUCCCAUAAAACGGUUUUCUGCAUUCGUUUUGGGGUGUCUUGCUCUCCAAAAGCCAAGAUAAUGUCUGCCGUGUUCCAAAUUCUCCUUUACUAGUGUACUGUCUCUAUACUGAAACAGCUUUGAAAGUUCCUCAUUGCUUUCAUCCGUCCCAUAAAACAGUUCUCGUACAUUUGUUUCUGAGUGUGUCUUGCUCUGUAAAAGUUAGGGAAAUAUCUGCCGUGUUCCAAGUUCUCCUUUACUAAGAGGUGUCAAUAUACUGUCUAUUCGGCAGCACGCUCUAAUGAGGUGUCUCUAUACUGAAUCAGCUUUGAAACUUCCUCAUUGCUUUCAUCCGUACCAUAAAAGUGUUUCUACAUUCAUUUCGUGUGUUUCCUGCUCUGUAAAAUGCAAGGAAAUAUCAGCUGUGUUCCAAGUUCUCCUUUACUAAGAGAUGUCGGGUCUUACCAACUCAAAAACCAACGGCAACUUUCGCCUACGUUGCAUUCCACGUUAUUUACUUCCAGCGUUUUUUUUUAUU